AUUGAACGCUGGCGGCAGGCCUAACACAUGCAAGUCGAGCGGAUGAAGGGAGCUUGCUCCUGGAUUCAGCGGCGGACGGGUGAGUAAUGCCUAGGAAUCUGCCUGGUAGUGGGGGAUAACGUCCGGAAACGGGCGCUAAUACCGCAUACGUCCUGAGGGAGAAAGUGGGGGAGCUUCGGACCUCACGCUAUCAGAUGAGCCUAGGUCGGAUUAGCUAGUUGGUGGGGUAAAGGCCUACCAAGGCGACGAUCCGUAACUGGGCUGAGAGGAUGAUCAGUCCACCGUAACUUGACCACGGUCCCGGCCCCACCCGGAGGGGAGGGGGGGGAAAUUUUGGGUGAGGGGGGAAAGCCUGUCCCAGCCAGCCCGGGGGGGUGAAGGAGGUCUUCGGUUUGUAAAGCAUUUUACUUUGGGAGGAGGGGAAGGAAAUUAACCCCUCGCUUUUUGCCCGUUACCAACAAAAAAGGCCCCGCCAACUUCGUU
RNAcentral lists this ribosomal RNA (483 nucleotides) under uncultured bacterium. RNAcentral's name for it is "partial 16S ribosomal RNA". It matches the Rfam family "Bacterial small subunit ribosomal RNA", at positions 30 to 507 of the family's 1533-position model. The record is from RNAcentral.